GUCUCUUGGAGGUAGAGCACUGUUUGGGUGAGGGGUCCAUCCCGGAUUACCAAACACAGAUAAACUCCGAAUGCCAACGAGAUAUAAUCCGCAGUCAGACUGCGAGUGCUAAGAUCCGUAGUCGAAAGGGAAACAGCCCAGACCACCAGCUAAGGUCCCAAAAUAUAUGUUAAGUGGAAAAGGAUGUGGGGUUGCACAGACAACUAGGAUGUUAGCUUAGAAGCAGCUAUUCAUUCAAAGAGUGCGUAAUAGCUCACUAGUCGAGUGACCCUGCGCCGAAAAUGUACCGGGGCUAAAACAUAUUACCGAAGCUGUGGAUACCUUUAUAGGUAUGGUAGGAGAGCGUUCUAUGUGCGAAGAAGGUGUACCGUGAGGAGUGCUGGAGCGCAUAGAAGUGAGAAUGCCGGUAUGAGUAGCGAAAGACAGGUGAGAAUCCUGUCCACCGUAAGACUAAGGUUUCCAGGGGAAGGCUCGUCCGCCCUGGGUUAGUCGGGACCUAAGGAGAGACCGAAAGGUGUAUCCGAUGGACAACAGGUUGAUAUUCCUGUACUAGAGUAUAUAGUGAUGGAGGGACGCAGUAGGCUAACUAAACCAGACGAUUGGAAGUGUCUGGCCAAGCAGUGAGGUGUGAUAUGAGUCAAAUGCUUAUAUCUAUAACAUUGAGCUGUGAUGGGGAGCGAAGUUUAGUAGCGAAGUUAGUGAUGUCACACUGCCGAGAAAAGCUUCUAGCGUUAAUUAUACUCUACCCGUACCGCAAACCGACACAGGUAGUCGAGGCGAGUAGCCUCAGGUGAGCGAGAGAACUCUCGUUAAGGAACUCGGCAAAAUGGCCCCGUAACUUCGGGAGAAGGGGCGCUGACUUAUGGUCAGCCGCAGUGAAUAGGCCCAAGCAACUGUUUAUCAAAAACACAGCUCUCUGCUAAAUCGUAAGAUGAUGUAUAGGGGGUGACGCCUGCCCGGUGCUGGAAGGUUAAGAGGAGUGCUUAGCGUAAGCGAAGGUAUGAAUUGAAGCCCCAGUAAACGGCGGCCGUAACUAUAACGGUCCUAAGGUAGCGAAAUUCCUUGUCGGGUAAGUUCCGACCCGCACGAAAGGCGUAAUGAUUUGGGCACUGUCUCAACGAGAG
This 1124-nucleotide ribosomal RNA is filed under the name human gut metagenome. Its description in RNAcentral is "bacterial LSU rRNA". It matches the Rfam family "Bacterial large subunit ribosomal RNA", at positions 890 to 2030 of the family's 2925-position model. The record is from RNAcentral.